This 879-nucleotide ribosomal RNA is filed under the name uncultured bacterium. RNAcentral describes it as "bacterial SSU rRNA". It matches the Rfam family "Bacterial small subunit ribosomal RNA", at positions 21 to 902 of the family's 1533-position model. The record is from RNAcentral.
GGCUCAGAACGAACGUUGGCGGCGUGGAUUAGGCAUGCAAGUCGAACGAAUCCCAACUUUGUAGCAAUACCGAGUUGGGGGAAGUGGCGAAAGGGGCAGUAAUGCGUGGGUAAUCUACCUCGGGGACGUGGAUAGCCAUUCUAACGAGUGGGUAAUACGCGGCGAUUUGGUUGAGGGGCAUCCCUUGGCCAGGAAAUGAAUUUCGCCUCGAGAGGAACUCACGUGAUAUUAGCUUGUUGGCGGGGUAACGGCCCACCAAGGCAAAGAUGUCUAGCGGGUGUGAGAGCACGACCCGCGCCACUGGCACUGAGACACUGGCCAGACACCUACGGGUGGCUGCAGUCGAGGAUCUUCGGCAAUGGGCGCAAGCCUGACCGAGCGACGCCGCGUGCGCGAUGAAGGCCUUCGGGUUGUAAAGCGCUGUCGAGGGGGAGGAAGCCGAAAGGUUGACCUAUCCCUGGAGGAAGGACGGGCUAAGUUCGUGCCAGCAGCCGCGGUAAGACGAACCGUCCUAACGUUGUUCGGAAUCACUGGGCUUAAAGGGCGCGUAGGCGGCUUGCCAAGUCAGGGGUGAAAUCCUGCAGCUUAACUGUAGAAGGGCCUUUGAUACUGGCAAGCUCGAGGGAGGUAGGGGUCGCUGGAACUUCCGGUGGAGCGGUGAAAUGCGUUGAUAUCGGAAGGAACGCCGGUGGCGAAAGCGAGCGACUGGACCUCUUCUGACGCUGAGGCGCGAAAGCUAGGGGAGCAAACGGGAUUAGAUACCCCGGUAGUCCUAGCCCUAAACGAUGGGUACUAGAUUGUAGACUUAACAUGGGUUUACAAUCGAAGCAAAAGUGUUAAGUACCCCGCCUGGGGAGUAUGGUCGCAGGGCUGAAACUC